Molecule: ribosomal RNA, 433 nt
Filed under: uncultured bacterium
Lineage: Bacteria
Description: partial 16S ribosomal RNA
Rfam family: Bacterial small subunit ribosomal RNA
Source: RNAcentral
AACGAACGCUGGCGGCAUGCCUAACACAUGCAAGUCGAACGAGACCUUCGUGUCUAGUUGCGCACGGGUGCGUAACGCGUGGGAACCUGCCCGUAGGUUCGGAAUAACUCCCCGAAAGGGGUGCUAAUACCGGAUAAUUUCUGCGGACCAAAGAUAUAUCGCCUUUGGGUGGGCCCGCGUUGGAUUAGCUGGGUGGUAGUGUAAAAGCCUACCAAGGCGAGGAUCGAUAGCUGGGCAGAGAGGAAGAUCAGCCACACUGGGAGUGUGAAACGGGCGAGACUCUUACGCGAGGCAGGAGUGGGGAAUAUUGGAAUACGGCGGAGAGGAUGAAGCAGCUAUGCUGGGUGAGUGAUGUAGUUCGUAGAGAAGUACAGCAGUUUUAUCCGGGACUAUACUGACGGUACCGGAAGAAUAAGCACCGGCUAACUCCGUG